This 735-nucleotide ribosomal RNA is filed under the name uncultured Fusobacterium sp. RNAcentral's name for it is "bacterial SSU rRNA". It matches the Rfam family "Bacterial small subunit ribosomal RNA", at positions 28 to 776 of the family's 1533-position model. The record is from RNAcentral. Lineage: Bacteria; Fusobacteriati; Fusobacteriota; Fusobacteriia; Fusobacteriales; Fusobacteriaceae.
GAUGAACGCUGACAGAAUGCUUAACACAUGCAAGUCAACUUGAAUUUGGGUUUUUAACUUAGGUUUGGGUGGCGGACGGGUGAGUAACGCGUAAAGAACUUGCCUCACAGCUAGGGACAACAUUUGGAAACGAAUGCUAAUACCUAAUAUUAUGAUAAUAGGGCAUCCUAUAAUUAUGAAAGCUAUAAGCGCUGUGAGAGAGCUUUGCGUCCCAUUAGCUAGUUGGAGAGGUAACGGCUCACCAAGGCGAUGAUGGGUAGCCGGCCUGAGAGGGUGAUCGGCCACAAGGGGACUGAGACACGGCCCUUACUCCUACGGGAGGCAGCAGUGGGGAAUAUUGGACAAUGGACCAAGAGUCUGAUCCAGCAAUUCUGUGUGCACGAUGAAGUUUUUCGGAAUGUAAAGUGCUUUCAGUUGGGAAGAAAGAAAUGACGGUGCCAACAGAAGAAGUGACGGCUAAAUACGUGCCAGCAGCCGCGGUAAUACGUAUGUCACGAGCGUUAUCCGGAUUUAUUGGGCGUAAAGCGCGUCUAGGUGGUUAUGUAAGUCUGAUGUGAAAAUGCAGGGCUCAACUCUGUAUUGCGUUGGAAACUGUAUAACUAGAGUACUGGAGAGGUAAGCGGAACUACAAGUGUAGAGGUGAAAUUCGUAGAUAUUUGUAGGAAUGCCGAUGGGGAAGCCAGCUUACUGGACAGAUACUGACGCUGAAGCGCGAAAGCGUGGGUAGCAAACAGG